UACAGAGGAUGCAAGCGUUAUCCGGAAUGAUUGGGCGUAAAGCGCACGCAGGCGGUUUGUUAAGUCAGAUGUGAAAUCCCCGGGCUCAACCUGGGAACUGCAUUUGAAACUGGCAAGCUUGAGUCUUGUAGAGGGGGGUAGAAUUCCAGGUGUAGCGGUGAAAUGCGUAGAGAUCUGGAGGAAUACCGGUGGCGAAGGCGGCCCCCUGGACAAAGACUGACGCUCAGGUGCGAAAGCGUGGGGAGCAAACAGG
Molecule: ribosomal RNA, 253 nt
Filed under: uncultured bacterium
Lineage: Bacteria
Description: partial 16S ribosomal RNA
Rfam family: Bacterial small subunit ribosomal RNA
Source: RNAcentral